AGGACCCAUAGAUACCUGGACUGAAAAAACAAGUGCAAACUGAAUAUUCAAUGUCAGGAUGUGGCAAGAUGUAUUUGGAAGUUUGGAAUCUAACAAGUUACAUCUAGUAGAAUGGAGAUGAACAUUCAGUGCUUGACAAAUGGUGGGGAUACAAUUCACAUUCAGGUGCAAUUUACAAAGGCAGACUGUAUAAAAUAAAUUUGAUUUGCACACCAGUGUAAGCCUGUGAUCACUCUUUACGGCAAUCAAUGUUGAAGUAGAAUGCAAAACAGGGGGCCAUGGAUUUCAGUUCCAGAAACAAAUGAAACACAUGGCAUGUCUCCUGCCAUCUGGAAUAUUCU
Mobula hypostoma (lesser devil ray) is the source of this 341-nucleotide long non-coding RNA. RefSeq lists it as uncharacterized. The record is from RefSeq and is a predicted model, not a curated record. The transcript is spliced from 3 exons. Lineage: Eukaryota; Metazoa; Chordata; Chondrichthyes; Myliobatiformes; Myliobatidae.